This 459-nucleotide ribosomal RNA is filed under the name uncultured bacterium. RNAcentral describes it as "partial 16S ribosomal RNA". It matches the Rfam family "Bacterial small subunit ribosomal RNA", at positions 29 to 523 of the family's 1533-position model. The record is from RNAcentral.
AACGAACGCUGGCGGCAGGCCUAACACAUGCAAGUCGAACGAGAAGCCACCUUCGGGUGGUGGAAAGUGGCAGACGGGUGAGUAACACGUGGGAACGUGCCCUUUGGUUCGGAACAACUCUGGGAAACUGGAGCUAAUACCGGAUAAGCCCUACGGGGGAAAGAUUCAUCGCCGAAGGAUCGGCCCGCGUCUGAUUAAGCUGUUGGUGAGGUAAUGGCUCACCAAGGCGACGAUCAGUAGCUGGUCUGAGAGGAUGAUCAGCCACACUGGGACUGAGACACGGCCCAGACUCCUACGGGAGGCAGCAGUGGGGAAUAUUGGACAAUGGGCGCAAGCCUGAUCCAGCCAUGCCGCGUGAGUGAUGACGGCCUUAGGGUUGUAAAGCUCUUUCGCCAGGGACGAUAAUGACGGUACCUGGAUAAGAAGCCCCGGCUAACUUCGUGCCAGCCGCCGCCGUAA